AAACACGGACCAAGGAGUCUAACAUGUGCGCGAGUCAAUGGGGCGUCCUAACCCCAAAGGCGCAAUGAAAGUGAAGGCCGACGACACGAGGUCGGCGGAGGGAGGAUGGCGUCGCACGGCGUCGCCCGCACUCCCGGGGGGUCUCGCUCCCGGCGGGCCCGUCCCGUCCGGGUUGAGGCGCACCCAGAGCGUACACGUUGGGACCCGAAAGAUGGUGAACUAUGCCUGGCCAGGACGAAGUCAGGGGAAACCCUGAUGGAGGUCCGUAGCGAUUCUGACGUGCAAAUCGAUCGUCGGAGCUGGGUAUAGGGC
Molecule: ribosomal RNA, 312 nt
Filed under: Scapteriscus sp. MCJ-2002
Lineage: Eukaryota; Metazoa; Arthropoda; Insecta; Orthoptera; Gryllotalpidae
Description: eukaryotic LSU rRNA
Rfam family: Eukaryotic large subunit ribosomal RNA
Source: RNAcentral